Molecule: ribosomal RNA, 253 nt
Filed under: uncultured bacterium
Lineage: Bacteria
Description: partial 16S ribosomal RNA
Rfam family: Bacterial small subunit ribosomal RNA
Source: RNAcentral
GACGGAGGGUGCUAGCGUUGUUCGGAAUCACUGGGCGUAAAGGGUGCGUAGGCGGCAUCGCAAGUCAUGGGUGAAAGCCCGGGGCUCAACCCCGGAAUUGCCUGUGAAACUGCGGCGCUCGAGGCCGAGAGAGGGGGGUGGAAUACCCAGUGUAGAGGUGAAACUCGUAGAUAUUGGGUGGAACACCAGUGGCGAAAGCGGCCCCCUGGCUCGGUCCUGACGCUGAGGCACGAAAGCGUGGGGAGCAAACAGG